UGACUCCUAUUAUGGGUAUUGGUUUAGCCACUGGCGCGCCUGAUACCCAUCCGGCGCCCACAUCAAGGGGACGCCAACCAGAGAAUUCUCUAACCCCCCGGUCGGCUUCCCGACCGGGGG
RNAcentral lists this small RNA (120 nucleotides) under Pseudomonas congelans. Lineage: Bacteria; Pseudomonadati; Pseudomonadota; Gammaproteobacteria; Pseudomonadales; Pseudomonadaceae. The record is from RNAcentral.